Molecule: small nuclear RNA, 175 nt
Filed under: Lynx canadensis (Canada lynx)
Lineage: Eukaryota; Metazoa; Chordata; Mammalia; Carnivora; Felidae
Description: U2 spliceosomal RNA (ENSLCNG00005017775.1)
Rfam family: U2 spliceosomal RNA
About the family: U2 is a small nuclear RNA (snRNA) component of the spliceosome (involved in pre-mRNA splicing). Complementary binding between U2 snRNA (in an area lying towards the 5' end but 3' to hairpin I) and the branchpoint sequence (BPS) of the intron results the bulging out of an unpaired adenosine, on the BPS, which initiates a nucleophilic attack at the intronic 5' splice site, thus starting the first of two transesterification reactions that mediate splicing.
Source: Rfam by way of RNAcentral
AUCGCUUCUCAGCCUUUUGGCUAAGAUCAAGUGUACUAUUUUAUUAUGUUAGGUUUAGUAAACCCGAUAUGCAUAACGUGAAUAUAUUAAAAGUCACUGUAAAACAGACCAUGGCCUGUUGAUGUCAUACAUGUGUUUAGAACAAAAAAUUAUCCUUGUGUUAUGCUGAUUUAUU